Phrynosoma platyrhinos (Desert horned lizard) is the source of this 73-nucleotide non-coding RNA. The record is from the annotation of a GenBank genome assembly. Lineage: Eukaryota; Metazoa; Chordata; Lepidosauria; Squamata; Phrynosomatidae.
GCUGGUGUGGUUUAGUGGUUUGAGUGUGGGGCUAGGACUCUGGGAGACAAGAGUUCAAAUCUCUGCUCAGGCA